GAUGAACGCUGACAGAAUGCUUAACACAUGCAAGUCAACUUGAACUUCGGUUUGGGUGGCGGCCGGGUGAGUCACGCGUAAAGAACUUGCCUCACAGAUAGGGACAACAUUUGGAAACGAAUGCUAAUACCUGAUAUUAUGAUUAUAUGGCAUCGUAUAAUUAUGAAAGCUAUAUGCGCUGUGAGAGAGCUUUGCGUCCCAUUAGCUAGUUGGAGGGGUAACGGCUCACCAAGGCGAUGAUGGGUAGCCGGCCUGAGAGGGUGAUCGGCCACAAGGGGACUGAGACACGGCCCUUACUCCUACGGGAGGCAGCAGGGGGGAAUAUUGGACAAUGGACCAAGAGUCUGAUCCAGCAAUUCUGUGUGCACGAUGAAGUUUUUCGGAAUGUAAAGUGCUUUCAGUUGGGAAGAAAAAAAUGACGGUACCAACAGAAGAAGUGACGGCUAAAUACGUG
Molecule: ribosomal RNA, 454 nt
Filed under: uncultured bacterium
Lineage: Bacteria
Description: partial 16S ribosomal RNA
Rfam family: Bacterial small subunit ribosomal RNA
Source: RNAcentral